Molecule: ribosomal RNA, 497 nt
Filed under: uncultured bacterium
Lineage: Bacteria
Description: partial 16S ribosomal RNA
Rfam family: Bacterial small subunit ribosomal RNA
Source: RNAcentral
GAUGAACGCUGGCGGCGUGCCUAAUACAUGCAGGUCGAGCGAACAGACGAGGAGCUUGCUCCUCUGACGUUAGCGGCGGACGGGUGAGUAACACGUGGAUAACCUACCUAUAAGACUGGGAUAACUUCGGGAAACCGGAGCUAAUACCGGAUAAUAUAUUGAACCGCAUGGUUCAAUAGUGAAAGACGGUUUUGCUGUCACUUAUAGAUGGAUCCGCGCCGCAUUAGCUAGUUGGUAGGGUAACGGCUUACCAAGGCGACGAUGCGUAGCCGACCUGAGAGGGUGAUCGGCCACACUGGAACUGAGACACGGUCCAGACUCCUACGGGAGGCAGCAGUAGGGAAUCUUCCGCAAUGGGCGAAAGCCUGACGGAGCAACGCCGCGUGAGUGAUGAAGGUCUUCGGAUCGUAAAACUCUGUUAUUAGGGAAGAACAAAUGUGUAAGUAACUAUGCACGUCUUGACGGUACCUAAUCAGAAAGCCACGGCUAACUACGUG